Small nucleolar RNA from Tachyglossus aculeatus (Australian echidna), 136 nucleotides. Lineage: Eukaryota; Metazoa; Chordata; Mammalia; Monotremata; Tachyglossidae. The record is from RefSeq and is a predicted model, not a curated record.
CCCCUCCCAGGGCCACAUCUGGAGAGUUUGCAGUACCCUACCAGUUUUGGCUACGGGAGGGAGAGUGAAGCAGAGGCAUACCCAUUCCAUUCCUAGCUUGUCCAGUGGUAGUGAGUGGAAGGCAAUCUGUACAAGU